RNAcentral lists this ribosomal RNA (497 nucleotides) under uncultured bacterium. RNAcentral's name for it is "partial 16S ribosomal RNA". It matches the Rfam family "Bacterial small subunit ribosomal RNA", at positions 28 to 507 of the family's 1533-position model. The record is from RNAcentral.
GAUGAACGCUGGCGGCGUGCCUAAUACAUGCAAGUCGAGCGAACAGAUGAGGAGCUUGCUCCUCUGACGUUAGCUGCGGACGGGUGAGUAACACGUGGAUAACCUACCUAUAAGACUGGGAUAACUUCGGGAAACCGGACCUAAUACCGGAUAAUAUAUUGAACCGCAUGGUUCAAUAGUGAAAGACGGUUUUGCUGUCACUUAUAGAUGGAUCCGCGCCGCAUUAGCUAGUUGGUAAGGUAACGGCUUACCAAGGCAACGAUGCGUAGCCGACCUGAGAGGGUGAUCGGCCACACUGGAACUGAGACAUGGUCCAGACUCCUACGGGAGGCAGCAGUAGGGAAUCUUCCGCAAUGGGCGAAAGCCUGACGGAGCAACGCCGCGUGAGUGAUGAAGGUCUUCGGAUCGUAAAACUCUGUUAUUAGGGAAGAACAAAUGUGUAAGUAACUAUGCACGUCUUGACGGUACCUAAUCAGAAAGCCACGGCUAACUACGUG